UACGAAGGGGGCUAGCGUUGUUCGGAAUUACUGGGCGUAAAGCGCACGUAGGCGGAUAUUUAAGUUAGGGGUGAAAUCCCAGGGCUCAACCCUGGAACUGCCUUUAAUACUGGGUAUCUCGAGUCCGAGAGAGGUGAGUGGAAUUCCGAGUGUAGAGGUGAAAUUCGUAGAUAUUGGGAAGAACACCGGUGGCGAAGGCGGCGCUCUGGACCGAGACUGACGCUGAGGCACGAAAGCGUGGGGAGCAAACAGG
RNAcentral lists this ribosomal RNA (253 nucleotides) under uncultured bacterium. Its description in RNAcentral is "partial 16S ribosomal RNA". It matches the Rfam family "Bacterial small subunit ribosomal RNA", at positions 524 to 776 of the family's 1533-position model. The record is from RNAcentral.